This 1110-nucleotide ribosomal RNA is filed under the name Tenebrionoidea gen. 7 sp. 2 NLG-2012. RNAcentral's name for it is "partial 16S ribosomal RNA". Lineage: Eukaryota; Metazoa; Arthropoda; Insecta; Coleoptera. The record is from RNAcentral.
UUCUUUAAAAUUAAAAAUUUUGGCGGUAUUUUAGUCUUUUAGAGGAUCCUGUUCUAUAAUUGAUAGUCCACGAUAAAUUUUACUUUACUUUUAAAUUUAUAUAUCGUCGUAGGUUGAAUAUUUUAUUAUUUAAUAUUUUCAGAUCAAGAUAUAGUUUAUAUUAAAGAAGAAAUGGGUUACAAUAAAAAUUUAUAAUAAAUUGGAUUUGAAAGUAAGCUCUAAAAUAUGCACAUAUCGCCCGUCGCUUUCAUUAUAAAAUGAAAUAAGUCGUAACAAAGUAGAUUUAUUGGAAAAUGAAUCUAGAAUGCAAAUUAGAGCUUGUCAAGUUUUUUAUUUACAUUAAAAAGUUAAUUGUUAAAAUCAAUUUAAUUUGAGUUUUAAAAUUAAUUAAUUUUUUAUUUAUUUAUUUAUUUAUUAAAAAAUUAUUUAUUUUAUUUUUAUAAGGAAAAGAGUUUAUUAUAGUAUUUAGUAUUGUGAAAGAAAAUUUUUAAUUAUUAAAAAGAAGAUUUAUAUUAUCGUACCUUGUGUAUCAGGGUUUAUUAAUUUAAUUUUCUCGAAUUUAAAAGAGUUAAUUUUAUUGUUGAAUAAAUAUUUAUAAUUAAAAAUUAGUAAUGAAACGUUAUUCGUUUUUAAAUAUAUCUAGUUUUUUAAGAAAUAAAUUGAAUUUUAAUUAAUUAUUAUUUUUAUUAGGGAUAAGCUUAAAAAUAAAUAAUUAAAAAUUAAAUUUUAUAUUAAAUAUAUAGGAUUAGAAAUUUCUAUUUUUAAAAUAAUGUUAUAAUUAAUUUUUUUAAAUUUUUUAUUAAAAUUUUAAUUUAAAUUUAAUAAAUUAGGUAAUAAUGAUAAAAUUAGUAAUUUAAUAAUAAGGAAUUCGGCAAAUAUUUUUUUCACCUGUUUAUUAAAAACAUGUCUUUUUGAUUAUAAUUUAAAGUCUGGCCUGCCCAAUGAAUAAAUGGCCGCAGUAUUUUGACUGUGCAAAGGUAGCAUAAUCAUUAGUUUUUUAAAUGGAAGCUGGAAUGAAGGGUUUAAUGAGAAAAAAGCUGUCUCUAGAAUUUUAUUUUUAAGUUAAAAAGCUUAAAUUUUUUAAAAAGACGAGAAGACCCUAUAGAGUUU